RNAcentral lists this ribosomal RNA (497 nucleotides) under uncultured bacterium. RNAcentral's name for it is "partial 16S ribosomal RNA". It matches the Rfam family "Bacterial small subunit ribosomal RNA", at positions 36 to 507 of the family's 1533-position model. The record is from RNAcentral.
UCUUCCCUCUGGCGGCGUGCCUAAUAUAUGCAAGUCGAGCGAACAGACGAGGAGCUUGCUCCUCUGACGUUAGCGGCGGACGGGCGAGUAACACGUGGAUAACCUACCUAUAAGACUGGGAUAACUUCGGGAAACCGGAGCUAAUACCGGAUAAUAUAUUGAACCGCAUGGUUCAAUAGUGAAAGACGGUUUUGCUGUCACUUAUAGAUGGAUCCGCGCCGCAUUAGCUAGUUGGUAAGGUAACGGCUUACCAAGGCAACGAUGCGUAGCCGACCUGAGGGGGUGAUCGGCCACACUGGAACUGAGACACGGUCCAGACUCCUACGGGAGGCAGCAGUAGGGAAUCUUCCGCAAUGGGCGAAAGCCUGACGGAGCAACGCCGCGUGAGUGAUGAAGGUCUUCGGAUCGUAAAACUCUGUUAUUAGGGAAGAACAAAUGUGUAAGUAACUAUGCACGUCUUGACGGUACCUAAUCAGAAAGCCACGGCUAACUACGUG